This 468-nucleotide ribosomal RNA is filed under the name uncultured bacterium. Its description in RNAcentral is "partial 16S ribosomal RNA". It matches the Rfam family "Bacterial small subunit ribosomal RNA", at positions 28 to 507 of the family's 1533-position model. The record is from RNAcentral.
GACGAACGCUGGCGGCGUGCUUAACACAUGCAAGUCGAACGGAAAGGCCCUGCUUUUGUGGGGUGCUCGAGUGGCGAACGGGUGAGUAACACGUGAGUAACCUGCCCUUGACUUUGGGAUAACUUCAGGAAACUGGGGCUAAUACCGGAUAGGAGCUCCUGCUGCAUGGUGGGGGUUGGAAAGUUUCGGCGGUUGGGGAUGGACUCGCGGCUUAUCAGCUUGUUGGUGGGGUAGUGGCUUACCAAGGCUUUGACGGGUAGCCGGCCUGAGAGGGUGACCGGCCACAUUGGGACUGAGGUACGGCCCAGGCUCCUACGGGAGGCAGCAGGGGGGAAUAUUGCACAAUGGGCGGAAGCCUGAUGCAGCAACGCCGCGUGCGGGAUGACGGCCUUCGGGUUGUAAACCGCUUUCGCCUGUGACGAAGCGUGAGUGACGGUAAUGGGUAAAGAAGCACCGGCUAACUACGUG